GCCAGACUCCUACGGGAGGCAGCAGUGGGGGAUAUUGCACAAUGGGGGGAACCCUGAUGCAGCGACGCCGCGUGGGUGAAGGAGCGUUUCGGCGCGUAAAGCCCUAUCGGCAGGGAAGAAGGAGGACGGUACCUGACUAAGGAGCCCCGGCUAACUACGUGCCAGCAGCCGCGGUAAUACGUAGGGGGCAAGCGUUAUCCGGAUUUACUGGGUGUAAAGGGGGCGCAGACGGCAGCGCAAGCCAGGAGUGAAAGCCCGGGGCCCAACCCCGGGACUGCUCUUGGAACUGCGCGGCUGGAGUGCAGGAGGGGCAGGCGGAAUUCCUGGUGUAGCGGUGAAAUGCGUAGAUAUCAGGAGGAACACCGGUGGCGAAGGCGGCCUGCUGGACUGCGACUGACGUUGAGGCCCGAAAGCGUGGGGAGCAAACAGGAUUAGAUACCCCCGUAC
Molecule: ribosomal RNA, 447 nt
Filed under: uncultured bacterium
Lineage: Bacteria
Description: partial 16S ribosomal RNA
Rfam family: Bacterial small subunit ribosomal RNA
Source: RNAcentral